GACGAACGCUGGCGGCGUGCUUAACACAUGCAAGUCGAGCGGUAAGGCCCUUUCGGGGGUACACGAGCGGCGAACGGGUGAGUAACACGUGGGUGACCUGCCCUCAGCUCUGGGAUAAGCCUGGGAAACCGGGUCUAAUACUGGAUAUGACUCCAUGACGCAUGUUGUGGGGUGGAAAGCCUUGUGCGGCUGAGGAUGGGCCCGCGGCCUAUCAGCUUGUUGGUGGGGUGAGGCCUACCAAGGCGACGACGGUAGCCGGCCUGAGAGGGCGACCGGCCACACUGGGACUGAGACACGGCCCAGACUCCUACGGGAGGCAGCAGUGGGGAAUCUUGCGCAAUGGGCGAAAGCCUGACGCAGCGACGCCGCGUGAGGGAUGACGGCCU
This 386-nucleotide ribosomal RNA is filed under the name uncultured bacterium. Its description in RNAcentral is "bacterial SSU rRNA". It matches the Rfam family "Bacterial small subunit ribosomal RNA", at positions 28 to 417 of the family's 1533-position model. The record is from RNAcentral.